RNAcentral lists this ribosomal RNA (253 nucleotides) under uncultured bacterium. RNAcentral describes it as "partial 16S ribosomal RNA". It matches the Rfam family "Bacterial small subunit ribosomal RNA", at positions 524 to 776 of the family's 1533-position model. The record is from RNAcentral.
UACGGGGGGGGCAAGCGUUGUUCGGAAUUACUGGGCGUAAAGGGCUCGUAGGUGGCCAACUAAGUCGGACGUGAAAUCCCUCGGCUUAACCGGGGAACUGCGUCUGAUACUGGAUGGCUUGAGUUCGGGAGAGGGAUGCGGAAUUCCAGGUGUAGCGGUGAAAUGCGCAGAUAUCAGGAGGAACACCGGUGGCGAAGGCGGGUCUCUGGGCCGAUACUGACGCUGAGGAGCGAAAGCGUGGGGAGCGAACAGG